Molecule: non-coding RNA, 200 nt
Organism: Heterocephalus glaber (naked mole-rat)
Lineage: Eukaryota; Metazoa; Chordata; Mammalia; Rodentia; Bathyergidae
Source: RefSeq, a predicted model, not a curated record
AUGUAAAAUGUGGAACGCUUCACCCAGAAUAGAUUUGUAGCAGCAGUUAUGAUUCACAGAUGCUGGGUUCUUGCUGACCCUGAUUCCUUUCUUCACACUGAACUCAGAAUUGCUACAUCAGUUUUGGAACGUAGCCUGAUUUCUCCUGCCAGAGGCUUUGAUCUGCAACAGUCCUCUCUACUCACCUACCACAGAACUAC